Molecule: ribosomal RNA, 468 nt
Filed under: uncultured bacterium
Lineage: Bacteria
Description: partial 16S ribosomal RNA
Rfam family: Bacterial small subunit ribosomal RNA
Source: RNAcentral
GACGAACGCUGGCGGCGUGCUUAACACAUGCAAGUCGAACGGAAAGGCCCUGCUUUUGUGGGGUGCUCGAGUGGCGAACGGGUGAGUAACACGUGAGUAACCUGCCCUUGACUUUGGGAUAACUUCAGGAAACUGGGGCUAAUACCGGAUAGGAGCUCCUGCUGCAUGGUGGGGGUUGGAAAGUUUCGGCGGUUGGGGAUGGAAUCGGGGCUUAUCAGCUUGUUGGUGGGGUAGUGGCUUACCAAGGCUUUGACGGGUAGCCGGCCUGAGAGGGUGACCGGCCACAUUGGGACUGAGAUACGGCCCAGACUCCUACGGGAGGCAGCAGUGGGGAAUAUUGCACAAUGGGCGGAAGCCUGAUGCAGCAACGCCGCGUGCGGGAUGACGGCCUUCGGGUUGUAAACCGCUUUCGCCUGUGACGAAGCGUGAGUGACGGUAAUGGGUAAAGAAGCACCGGCUAACUACGUG